UUUUCCAGUUUAAAUGCAUUAUGGGACAGCUAAAUGAGAAAUUAUGCUUCUCUAAAGACUGCUUUCUGUUUACUUGUUAUUUGCAAUUUUUUUUCAAACUUUUGAUUGUUGUUGUGAGCAGAUUUUCAUAAUUGGGUAUUAUUACUAAGGAGAUAAUUUUUGCAAGCAGAUUUCUUAAGCCUCAGGUUCCCAGAACAUUGGUGGUUCGGUGCUCCCUAUUGGCCACACAACAAAGUACCUAGUCUGACAAUUUCUUUCUCAUCUAUUUAAGCUUACCUAAUCAUAUACUGCGAGAGGAGAAUACGUGAUUCUGAUCCAUGUUUAACAAUGAGGAUGGACUCGGCUAGUCCUCUAACAUUCUUCCAUCCCGAUUUUUCUCUCUAAAGGAAUCAGAGGAAACUAAAUCCAUUUUAAAAUUCAUAAGGCAUGUUAAUGGUUCACUGGCUGAUCUCAUUCAUUAUCUUUCACCCAGCAUUUGUCGAACUAGACUCGAAGUUGUAGUUUCACAUAUUCUGGCCAAAGAGAUGCAGCAAUUAAGCUGGAAGUUAGCUGUGUUCUAAAUGGUCUCAACCAUGCAGGAAGGAGUUAUAGGGUACCGAUAUAAUGGACUUUUGAAAGAACUUUUUCUUCCGAACAGCUGAGAACUUGCGAAAAGUUGAUCAGGGUGUCUCAAGCCAGUGUAUUUCUCAAGUCUCAGGUUCCCAGAACGUUGGUGGUUUGGUGUUCAUUUUCUGUUGGCCACAACAAGGUACCGGAGUGCACCAAUCAUUUAGUCGUUUAUUUAAGCUUAUCUAACCAUAUACCAAGAGAGGAUAAUAUGUGAUUCUGAUCCAUGUGUGAGGUACUUUUGACUCAGAUGUUCAUCUAAGAGAUGUUAAUCAGCCGGCUAAUAUAUAAACUUUUUACUUUUUUUCCCUCAAAACAUAAUUAAAAAUAAAUCUCCUUGUCCAGUUUAGAUGAAGUUUGAGCCUGUUUUUACUAAUUUAUGAACCUUGCGCACUGCAAGUCUUUAAAUUUUUUUUUUUUUGAAAGGUUUGAUUAACU
Ananas comosus (pineapple) is the source of this 1044-nucleotide long non-coding RNA. RefSeq lists it as uncharacterized. The record is from RefSeq and is a predicted model, not a curated record. The transcript has 6 exons. NCBI's taxonomy places the organism in Eukaryota, Viridiplantae, Streptophyta, Magnoliopsida, Poales, Bromeliaceae.